GACGAACGCUGGCGGCGUGCUUAACACAUGCAAGUCGAACGAUGAUGCUGGAGCUCGCUCCAGUUGAUUAGUGGCGAACGGGUGAGUAACACGUGAGCAAUCUGCCCUUGACUCUGGGAUAACUGCGGGAAACUGUAGCUAAUACCGGAUACUUUCACCGGGGGGCAUCCUCUGGUGAUGAAAGAAUUUCGGUCAAGGAUGAGCUCGCGGCCUAUCAGCUUGUUGGUGAGGUAACGGCUCACCAAGGCGACGACGGGUAACCGGCCUGAGAGGGUGACCGGUCACACUGGGACUGAGACACGGACCAGACUCCUACGGGAGGCAGCAGUGGGGAAUAUUGCACAAUGGGCGCAAGCCUGAUGCAGCAACGCCGCGUGAGGGAUGAAGGCCUUCGGGUUGUAAACCUCUUUUAGCAGGGAAGAAGCGAAAGUGACGGUACCUGCAGAAAAAGCACCGGCUAACUACGUGCCAGCCGCCGCAGUAA
RNAcentral lists this ribosomal RNA (484 nucleotides) under uncultured bacterium. RNAcentral describes it as "partial 16S ribosomal RNA". It matches the Rfam family "Bacterial small subunit ribosomal RNA", at positions 28 to 523 of the family's 1533-position model. The record is from RNAcentral.